UACAGAGGUCUCAAGCGUUGUUCGGAUUCAUUGGGCGUAAAGGGUGCGUAGGUGGCGCCGUAAGUCGGGUGUGAAAUUUCGGAGCUUAACUCCGAAACUGCAUUCGAUACUGCGGUGCUUGAGGACUGGAGAGGAGACUGGAAUUCAUGGUGUAGCAGUGAAAUGCGUAGAGAUCAUGAGGAAGACCAGUGGCGAAGGCGGGUCUCUGGACAGUAACUGACGCUGAGGAGCGAAAGCGUGGGUAGCGAACAGG
RNAcentral lists this ribosomal RNA (253 nucleotides) under uncultured bacterium. Its description in RNAcentral is "partial 16S ribosomal RNA". It matches the Rfam family "Bacterial small subunit ribosomal RNA", at positions 524 to 776 of the family's 1533-position model. The record is from RNAcentral.